UUGAACGCUGGCGGCAUGCUUUACACAUGCAAGUCGAACGGCAGCGGGGGCUUCGGCCUGCCGGCGAGUGGCGAACGGGUGAGUAAUGCAUCGGAACGUACCCAGUCGUGGGGGAUAACUACGCGAAAGCGUAGCUAAUACCGCAUACGCCCUGAGGGGGAAAGCGGGGGACCUUCGGGCCUCGCGCGAUUGGAGCGGCUGAUGUCGGAUUAGCUAGUUGGUGAGGUAAAGGCUCACCAAGGCGACGAUCCGUAGCUGGUCUGAGAGGACGACCAGCCACACUGGAACUGAGACACGGUCCAGACUCCUACGGGAGGCAGCAGUGGGGAAUUUUGGACAAUGGGGGCAACCCUGAUCCAGCCAUUCCGCGUGAGUGAAGAAGGCCUUCGGGUUGUAAAACUCUUUCGGCAGGAACGAAACGGUGAGCUCUAACAUAGCUUGCUAAUGACGGUACCUGAAGAAGAAGCACCGGCUAACUACGU
This 482-nucleotide ribosomal RNA is filed under the name uncultured bacterium. RNAcentral's name for it is "bacterial SSU rRNA". It matches the Rfam family "Bacterial small subunit ribosomal RNA", at positions 30 to 506 of the family's 1533-position model. The record is from RNAcentral.